Molecule: transfer RNA, 85 nt
Filed under: Kalinella pachyderma
Lineage: Eukaryota; Viridiplantae; Chlorophyta; Trebouxiophyceae; Watanabeales; Watanabeaceae
Description: tRNA-Tyr
Rfam family: tRNA
About the family: Transfer RNA (tRNA) molecules are approximately 80 nucleotides in length.
Source: RNAcentral
GGGUCGGUUCCUUAGUCUGGUCAACAGGGGCGGAUUGUAAAUCCGCUGGCUAUCGCCUUCGCUGGUUCGAAUCCAGCCCGGCCCA